RNAcentral lists this long non-coding RNA (1200 nucleotides) under Podarcis muralis (Common wall lizard). RNAcentral's name for it is "lncRNA (ENSPMRG00000019121.1)". The record is from RNAcentral. Lineage: Eukaryota; Metazoa; Chordata; Lepidosauria; Squamata; Lacertidae.
AUGAGACGGAAACAUGGAAGGUGCCUAAAGAAGCCAGGGUGGCUAUCUAAAGAACUUUUAACUCAGUUAAGAUUAAAAAAGGAUGUGUACAAAAAUGGAAAAGGGGAAACCACCAAAGAGGAAUUCAAACAAAUAGCCAGCACAUGUAGACACAAAGUCAGAAAAGCUAAAGCACAGAAUGAACUCAGGCUUGCUAGAGAGGUUAAAAGCAACAAAAAAGGCUUUUAUGGGUAUGUCCGUAGCAAAAGGAAGAACAAAGAAACAGUGGGGUCACUCAGAGGAGAAGAUGGUGAAAUGCAAACAGGGGACACAGAAAGGGCUGAACUCAAUGCCUUCUUUGCCUCAGUCUUCUCCAAUAAAGAAAACAAUGCCCGACCUGAAGAAUUUGGAGCAAAUGAUUCAGCAGAGGAAACACAGCCCAGAAUAACUAAGGAGAUAGUACAAGAAUACUUGGCUAGUUUAGAUGUAUUCAAGUCUCCAGGGCCAGACGAACUGCAUCCAAGAGUAUUAAAAGAACUGGCAGAUGUGAUCUCAGAACCACUGGCAGUCAUCUUUGAGAAUUCCUGGAGAACAGGCGAAGUCCCGGCAGACUGGAGGAGGGCAAAUGUUGUCCCUAUUUUCAAAAAGGGGAAAAGAGAGGACCCAAAUAAUUAUCGCCCAGUCAGUCUGACAUUUGCCAAUGCAAUUCUGGGCUGCAUCAAUAGGAGUAUAGCAUCUAGAUCAAGGGAAGUAAUAGUGCCACUGUAUUCUGCUCUGGUCAGACCUCACCUGGAGUACUGUGUCCAGUUCUGGGCACCACAGUUCAAGAAGGACACUGACAAACUGGAACGUGUCCAGAGGAGGGCAACCAAAAUGGUCAAAGGCCUGGAAACGAUGCCUUAUGAGGAACGGCUAAGGGAGCUGGGCAUGUUUAGCCUGGAGAAGAGGAGGUUAAGGGGUGAUAUGAUAGCCAUGUUCAAAUAUAUAAAAGGAUGUCACAUAGAGGAGGGAGAAAGGUUGUUUUCUGCUGCUCCAGAGAAGCGGACAAGGAGCAAUGGAUCCAAACUACAAGAAAGAAGAUUCCACCUAAACAUUAGGAAGAACUUCCUGACAGCAAGAGCUGUUCGACAGUGGAAUUUGCUGCCAAGGAGUGUGGUGGAGUCUCCGUCUUUGGAGGUCUUUAAGCAGAGGCUUGACAACCAUAUGUCAGGAGUGCUCUGA